Dipodomys ordii (Ord's kangaroo rat) is the source of this 65-nucleotide non-coding RNA. The record is from Rfam. NCBI's taxonomy places the organism in Eukaryota, Metazoa, Chordata, Mammalia, Rodentia, Heteromyidae.
GGUGGCUCAGUGGUAGAGUGCUUGCCUUGCAUCCAUGAAGCCCUGGGUUCGAUUCCUCAGCACCA